Molecule: ribosomal RNA, 424 nt
Filed under: uncultured bacterium
Lineage: Bacteria
Description: bacterial SSU rRNA
Rfam family: Bacterial small subunit ribosomal RNA
Source: RNAcentral
UGCCAGCAGCCGCGGUAAUACGUAGGGUGCRAGCGUUAAUCGGAAUUACUGGGCGUAAAGCGUACGCAGGCGGCUUGRUAAGACAGAUGUGAAAUCCCCGGGCUCAACCUGGGAACUGCAUUUGURACUGCCARGCUCGAGUCUGUCAGAGGGGGGUGGAAUUCCACGUGUAGCAGUGAAAUGCGUAGAGAUGUGGAGGAACACCGAUGGCGAAGGCAGCCCCCUGGGAUGAGACUGACGCUCAUGUACGAAAGCGUGGGGAGCAAACAGGAUUAGRUACCCUGGUAGUCCACGCCCUAAACGAUGUCGACUAGUUGUCGGGAAUUCAUUUUCUCGGUAACGCAGCUAACGCGUGAAGUCGACCGCCUGGGGAGUACGGUCGCAAGAUUAAAACUCAAAGGAAUUGACGGGGGCCCGCACAAGA